Molecule: ribosomal RNA, 540 nt
Filed under: Triticum aestivum (bread wheat)
Lineage: Eukaryota; Viridiplantae; Streptophyta; Magnoliopsida; Poales; Poaceae
Description: partial small subunit ribosomal RNA
Source: RNAcentral
AUGCUGACCGUCUGGCGAUCUGGUGUAGUGGUCCCAGAGGAUGAGGGGCCGGAGUCGGACGAGGUGUGGGCAGAAGAGAUCCGUCUGCAGGCUGUGGAAAUGAUGCGGGAGGCGAGAAUCAUGGCGGACGAGAAGAACCUGGAGGAGGCAAAGUACAAGCUAAUGGAUGCCCAGUACAUGGUGGAGGACCAGUCCAACCCACUUCUCCUGACCGAGCUGCAGGAGCUCCUGGAGCUUUUGAACACCCAGGGACUCUACGAGGCAUAUGGCCGGCCAUACGCGUUGUCAUCGGAGGCUUCACAUGACCGGCAGCGUUUCGCGACGAGGGGAGGGGACAUCUGCACAAUGAGGCUGUUCGCAACGCCGCGCAUGAACAAGUACCUCAAGCAGGCCAAGUUAUUCCAAAGGGACCCAACGUGCACGGUGCCUUCGGCGGACGUUGACGUUAAGGAGGAGAUGGCUCUUAGUAUUAAUCUUUGCCAAUGUGGGCACAAUAAUGAAGAGAAGAUGGGGAGGUUGAGCUUGGAUAUGGAAGAGUAA